CGCAUCACGCACACUAGCCCGUGAGUAGUUAGCUCAAUUGCACCAGAAGAACUCCCAUCGCCCACAAAAUCAAUCUGCCCUGUUCUUCGCACGGCCGUGAAGAACUCCACCGUGGCCAGCACUCCUCGGGUUAGUAAUUUCCCAAUUGCUUCCUAUUCUAGUCUAUUUAUAGCCCCCUAUUGCUCUCAUAGUCAACCAAUUGAAAUUCGGCAGAAGCCUUUCACCGGAACACUCCUCUGUUCCGUAGAACGCCGCCGUGACACCCCCUCUGUAGACCCACUCUUCUGCUCUUGUUUUGCCCGAAUUAAAGCGUGUACCUAACCUCUGGUGAACAUGGGAACCUUUCCCCAGCCUCAAUUUGGUCAUCCACACCGUCGGUUAGUCGGAACGCGUUCAUCCAUAUGACCAUCCGCACUGUCGCCAUGAUCUGGUUGAUUCAAAGCCCCAUUGGUAAAAUUGUUUGAGGGGAAAUGCGCGGGAGAGGUCCAAUUCAAUGUCUGCCACGCGGGAGCUCCAGCCGUGGCAGUAUACAGCCGGCGCAAGCUCGCUGGAGCGCGGGCCGACGUCGCUCGUCGACAUGGACCUCGGUCUGCAAAGAAUUAGAAGGGGGGGGGGGUUCUGCGAACUGUUAGCGACUCCCGAAAAUAGUGCUAGUGCUCAUUUCAGAUUAUCCAGAAUGUCGUGGGUCUUUUUGCAAAGUCGCCACGGGCGCGCGGGCGCGCUUCCGCCCAUAGUUGGGCCGCCUCGGCUGGAUUCGGCCCAGGACUGUUCAUCCCUUUUUCUUUUCUUUUUCUACCAAGGCUAAAACAAUUUUAGAAAAUUGCAGAAAAAUGUCAAACCAAUUUUCCUAGAUUCCUUAUUUUCCAUAGUAUUUAUUAAAAAUAGUUUCAUGAUUUUAGGUCGAAUAAGGAAUUUUGGAGCAUUUAUAAUAGCCUAAAACAUUGGUUCUAGAUUUUUAGAAAAUAGAUAAUAGUUCCAAAAAAUCUCCAAACUUUUUAUUUGAACUCUAAAUAUUAUUUAGAAGCCUUGGGUAGAAUUUGGUUUGAUUUGGACCUUGUUUGAUGCUUAGAACCCAAAACCCUACCCUCCUGCUCUUUGAACUUCACUGUUGACUCCGGAAACCCUAAGUUCUUGGAGUUCCGUGAAGGAAAGUUGUAUUCAAGACUUUAGAUAAUAAACUCUUAUUAUCUUUGCACUCUCAUGAGCAUUACAUGGCAUUCAUUCUUAUAUAUAUAUAUAUAUGGUUAUAUUUAGAAAACGAGGAAGAAGUUGAAGUAGAUGAAGAGAAGACUUCACCACCACCACCUGCGGAACAUCAGGCAGGAAAUUGUUUUUACUUUGACAUCUGCGGAUCCGAGCCUGACUCACCUAUAAACGAAGGCAAGCCCCGGUGCAUUUGCCACCUCCUUGAUGCUUUUAAAAUCUUUCUCACUUGCUUGAUGCAUUAGGUGAUAGGGGUUGAUUGCUAAAACAAUUCCUGCAUUACCUUCCUUGAAUUUGAUUACCUUCCUUGAUCAUCGUUUUACAAAAGAUUUUUGAUGCUUAUCCUUGCUUUAGAAAAACAAAAUGUUUUGUUUUCACAAAAGAUGAUGUGGCAAAGUGGGUGGGAUGUUUUUGAAAAUAAAACUUGAUGUUGGAUGUACCUCUGCCAGGUACCAAACUUUGGGUUGAAAUGAUUAAGCUGAGACCGGGCGGGUGACUUGCACGAGAAGAGAGUCUCGAUGUAGUGUCUCUGUCUGAGUCGAUUAAGGACUGUCUCGAUGUAGGUUUGCUGACCGAGGACCCUUUAACUGGUCACAUGCCUCGUCAUGGGUAAGCUUUGCCUCGGGCAGACUAAGGCCAGAAUAAGAUAACACGCAAUGGCAGUGGAGCGAUGGCGAGAGUAGCGUGUACCCUCCGUGGCAAGAGGCUGGACGGUGGUGUAUCUGUGCUCUCGGUUGACGUGAACCUGAUCUGGUCUUAAGAACCCCGAUGGCGGGUUGACAUAUGCAAGGGUUAAGUGCUACAUAUGUCGUGUGAUCGGAGAUCCUCAGCUGAGUAUAAUCGAUUCGGAUCGCCGUACCUUCGCGGUUAUGAAGACUUGGUCACUGACUUAUACGUAGAACUCCAGUAAAGAUUAAGGGUUGUUAUGAAAUUGGCUAGUGCAGGUCAAGUGUUUGAACUAGGGUAGAAAGAACUCUAGUUGCAGGUAAUCUUACUUAACCUGACAAAUAAAACUGGAUUUUUAAGGAUCCACUUCUAGUAAGCAUUUCUGCAAAACAGAGUCAUUGAUCAUUGAGAAACCUUACCUUGACUCCCUUAUAACCAGCAUACCCUUAAGAGUCUUUUCUUUAGUCGGGUAAGACUUGCUGAGUAAUUCCAUACUCAGGGUUUUAUUCCCCGUUGUUUUUAGGUGAGGAAGCAACCAACUUUUGUUGCUUCUGUUCUAAGGUGGUACCGAAGGAAGAGCACCAGGAGUAAAGCUGCGAGAGGAAAGGAUCCUCCAUAAAAACUUUUGUUUGAUACUUAUCGAGAGGGGUUUUUGCCUCCCUUGGUGUGUAAUAAUAUUACUCUGCACUCAUAGAUUAUAUUCUGGUCUGUAAAUAUUCAACUAUAUCUUACUUUUAAAUAAAGGUAAGUUAAUGUAAUUGCUUCCACAUUCUUGUAACUCCGAUGCUUGUAAUGUCUGCGUGACGGGUGAAACGCUCUUGGGAAAGGA
Molecule: long non-coding RNA, 2698 nt
Filed under: Zea mays
Lineage: Eukaryota; Viridiplantae; Streptophyta; Magnoliopsida; Poales; Poaceae
Description: long non-coding RNA (ZMAY_LNC004645)
Source: RNAcentral